UGAGGGUUAUAUUAGCUGUGUGAACUUUGUAAAUGCGCUGUAAUAUAGUCGACAGCUCGUGUGGCAGGAAGCUCGCGUCUUAAAGGGCGGCGCCGAGUGAAAAUCAGUGCAUAGUUAAUGAUGCCCCAAAAUAGGCAGUUAAAAAAAUUAAUUUAAAAAAAUCUAUGGGGUAUUUUGAGCUGAAACUUCACAGACACAUUCAGGAGACACCUUAGACUUAUAUUACAUCUUGUGAAAAACGUUCUUGGGCACCUUUAAGUGUGUUAAGAAACACAUUCAUGAAAGUGUGCUCCCUUUAAGUGCACUUAAGUUGCCUUUUAUUAUAUUACUUUAAAGUCUAUUUAAAGUGAUGAUAAGAAUGUUGUCUGUCACAUUCAUCUCUAAUAAAAUGUGUUAAGAUGUUUGUUAAGAGAGUUGUUUGUCGUCCCACUGCUCUUCUUCUCUCAGGCAACACUCCUCCUAAAGUGAUCAUCCUGCCCCCGUCCAGUGCAGAGAUCUCCUCUGUGAACACAGCGACGCUGCUGUGUGUGGCCAGCGAGGGCUUCCCGUCAGACUGGAGCCUGAGCUGGAAGGUGGACGGGAGCAGCAGGUCUCAGGAGAGCAGCGCUGGGCUCCUGGAGAAGGACGCUCUGUACAGCUGGAGCAGCAGCCUGACUCUCUCUGAGCAGGAGUGGAUGAAGAGCGUGUCAGUGAGCUGUGAGGCCACACGGAGCGGCCAGCCUGCGGUCACUGCACAACUGAAGAGAGAUCAGUGUUCAGAGUAGAUCCGCUCAGUCUCUCCUCUGCCUUCUGCUUCAUCCUUCUGACUGAUCAUGUCUCACUUCUGCUUCUCUGAUCUCAUUCACACAAGAGCAUGCUAUGAUUUUCUGUUAUAACUGAAAUAAAAUAAAUA
This is a non-coding RNA of Megalobrama amblycephala (Wuchang bream), 892 nucleotides long. Lineage: Eukaryota; Metazoa; Chordata; Actinopteri; Cypriniformes; Xenocyprididae. The record is from the annotation of a RefSeq genome assembly.